Molecule: long non-coding RNA, 1169 nt
Filed under: Mus musculus (house mouse)
Lineage: Eukaryota; Metazoa; Chordata; Mammalia; Rodentia; Muridae
Description: small nucleolar RNA host gene 16
Source: RNAcentral
CUUUCCGAGGUCCUCUGCCGCGUGUUUGGAAGUUAUGGCCGCGCGGGUCUGUGGUGUUCUCCCUGAAAGGCCUAAGCUUUGGGUGAUGGCAUUGCCUUUUGGCACUCGGGAGACAAGAUGCAGGUUCCGUCUCAGAAGUAAUGGCUGGAUCCCUGAAAGCCAACGGGCUCGGUGUGGUCCACCCGUCAGAAGGCAUAGGUAGAUGGUGGGCAUCUGCCUCAGACAUAGUUCUCAAGUUCAGCCAGAAGAAUGCGCGUUGAGCCCUCUGCAGCCCGUGUCGACGGAGGUGUUGUCUCCAGGAAGCAUCAUGGAAAGGCGUGGUGGUGCACAAGGGCCUUCAGGAUGCCUGCGCCUGGUGACGGCUGCGCCUCAGGUUCUGGGCCUGACUCGGAAGGGUGCCUGUGAGCAGAAGAGCUGGCACGCGCAGCUCAGUGGACCAUCAGUGCCAACCCGUCCUGUACCCUGGCUGAGGGGUGUGCUAAGUGGCAGAUUCCCGGUUGGCUCAUCGUAAGGCGUGGCACAAAAUCACCAUCGAAAGAAAGGGCCUUCGGGAUGCCUCUAUCUGGGUGGCUCUGCUUGCCUUCACUUCUGAGUGGACUCAGGUUCAGGUCCUCAGGGAUUUGGUUGAAUAUAAAUACUCUGAUGUUUCAUGAGAAACCUUUUUUUGGCCACUUACCAGGAACUUCUUAAAACUUUCUUUUAAAAAAAAAGUUAGCAGCCUGCUUCUGAACUUGGCUGGUGCCUGCCUGUGUGUAGCGCACACAGUGCCUUGUGAUGGCGGCUGGAAUCCCAGGACUAUCUGAUAAUGCUUGUUCCUAAAGUUUGUAGUUUUGAUCACUUAGCUGCCUGUCUCCUUCAGGUUCUUUCCUUGUUUCUAGGUUAUUGCCCUGUAGUGCCAGAGAGAACCACAUAGCCUGCUGCUGCUCCUGCCUUUAAUUUCCCAAAGAGUCAUCAGACGACCUUGGAGUUUGUUCUGCAAGAGGAGCCAGUAAGGCCUCGUGACUGUGGUCACCCUCGGAAGCCUUUGACAGCUAGCUGGUGAGGGCGCUCAGUCGGAGGCCCUGGGGAGGCCCCUGCUAAGCCGAGAAAAGCAUUUCUCACAGUGGAUUUCCUGGAAGUCAGGGUUGGCCUUUGUAUUUUGAAGCACAAAUAAACUUUAUAAAAUUUAA